UUUUAUUUGAGAGUUUGAUCCUGGCUCAGGAUGAACGCUGGCGGCGUGCCUAACACAUGCAAGUUGAGCGAUUUACUUCGGUAAAGAGCGGCGGACGGGUGAGUAACGCGUGGGUAACCUACCCUGUACACACGGAUAACAUACCGAAAGGUAUGCUAAUACGGGAUAAUAUAUUUGAGAGGCAUCUCUUGAAUAUCAAAGGUGAGCCAGUACAGGAUGGACCCGCGUCUGAUUAGCUAGUUGGUAAGGUAACGGCUUACCAAGGCGACGAUCAGUAGCCGACCUGAGAGGGUGAU
Molecule: ribosomal RNA, 296 nt
Filed under: Clostridioides difficile
Lineage: Bacteria; Bacillati; Bacillota; Clostridia; Peptostreptococcales; Peptostreptococcaceae
Description: partial 16S ribosomal RNA
Rfam family: Bacterial small subunit ribosomal RNA
Source: RNAcentral